GUUUUUGAGCUCUUAACAUCUAGCAGCUAAAAAGAAUUGAGUAAGUGUAAGGUCUUGUUACAUAGUUUAAGUGACCCUGUUUUUGUAGCAAUAAUGGACAAAGGUAAUAUUUAAAUUAUAAAAUGUUGCCUGCUUUACAUAUAGAUAUGAGUUGAAUUUUAAAAAGCAUAACUUAUUAAAAUUCACAAGUUCAAGGGGAAAUUUUAACUUUUGAAUAUAGGUGGCAGGUUUUAAGAAGCAAAUGGCAGAUACUGGAAAACUGAACACACUGUUGCAGAGAGCCCCCCAGUGUCUUGGGAAAUUUAUUGAGAUUGCUGCCCGAAAGAAGCGAAAUUUUAUUCUGGAUCAGACAAAUGUGUCUGCUGCUGCCCAGAGGAGAAAAAUGUGCCUGUUUGCAGGCUUCCAGCGAAAAGCUGUUGUAGUUUGCCCAAAAGAUGAAGACUAUAAGCAAAGAACACAGAAGAAAGCAGAAGUAGAGGGGAAAGACCUACCAGAACAUGCGGUCCUCAAAAUGAAAGGCAUGGAAUUUUAAUUCUGUUACUGUGUGAAAUCUUCUUUUUA
RNAcentral lists this long non-coding RNA (561 nucleotides) under Homo sapiens (human). RNAcentral's name for it is "non-protein coding lnc-HNRNPU-1:9". The record is from RNAcentral. Lineage: Eukaryota; Metazoa; Chordata; Mammalia; Primates; Hominidae.